CUGGCUUCAGGUGGCUGCUCUGCACCACGGCUCCCAACCCAAACCCAUGGGACACCAUGGAGGGGCCGUGGGUGGUGUGGCUGUGGUGGGACGGGUGGUUCGGGGGCCUGAGCCACCUUCCAGGGGGCUUCACCUGCUCCAGCACCACCAGAAGCACUACCGGCCCCCUGCACUCACCUCUUCUCCUUCAACACCUUUCAUGGGGAAGGAGGUUGAAAAAAAAAAAAAAAAAAAGUAAAAUGACUCGUGUUUUGCAGAAAUACUUUGUAGGACUGAAUAAAAUCUCUCUAACACGUUUUCACUUUUGUUGUCUGUUUAUCUGGUGAGGACAACCUCCAAACCAGACGUCACAGAGAUUCAGCGCGUGCUUGAUGCGCUGCCCUUCUGACUCUGGAACUGCUGGAUCAGCCUGAAAAAUGUAAGAGUAUCGAGUGACGUAAAGCACGGCGAAGCCAAAUGCGGGCUGCUCUUUAAGGCAAGCAGGAUGUGUUUGCACGGUCUUCAUAGCAGACAGAAAAGGAGGGGUUUUGUGGGAUGAGGCACGAGCGUGAAAGACACUGGUGGGAGAAAAAACUGACAACUGGAUUACAGCUGCCUGCUGGGCAAAUUGCUGGCUGAAAGGACAUCGCUGGAUAUACAGAUGCAUCAGCAUCUACACGCGCUGUAUGAAGGCUGCUCGCCUUAUCUUCCAUCUCAAACAGCUGCAAAGGGGGCAGAAUGGCAAAAGAAACAUCCUGCAACGCCCCCUAACACACCCCCUAAAUACUUCCACCUUCCCAAACCCUUCCCAACAGAAGACACAAAUAUUCAAAACACAACCUGGAUGGUGCUGGCCGGCCCUGCGGUGCCAGAAGCGGGUUUCGGCAGGGGCUGUGCUCGGGCAGGAAAGCACCGUGGUGGUGCCUGGAAGCCGCGGAGCUGCUGGCUGCUGGUGGCUGCCUGCGAGUUGGCUUGGGGGUCACUUGGCACGCGUGGCCCAUGGCACCGAAUUCAACAGCGCCGCGCAGUUGAGCGUUGGAGGACCUGGUCCCUGCUGGCAAAAUCGCUCUCCCCGCUCCGUUGAUGAAGAUGGAUUGGUCCGAGUGGAACGUCGGGUCUUUGAGCCCAAAAUA
This is a long non-coding RNA of Oxyura jamaicensis (ruddy duck), 1112 nucleotides long. RefSeq lists it as uncharacterized. The record is from RefSeq and is a predicted model, not a curated record. NCBI's taxonomy places the organism in Eukaryota, Metazoa, Chordata, Aves, Anseriformes, Anatidae. The transcript has 4 exons.